Molecule: transfer RNA, 81 nt
Filed under: Argiope amoena
Lineage: Eukaryota; Metazoa; Arthropoda; Arachnida; Araneae; Araneidae
Description: tRNA-Val
Source: RNAcentral
ACUUUAAAGCUUUUUAAGCAUUUCACUUACACUGAAAAGAUAGAAAUAGUUUAAUUUAAUCUUUUUUAAUAAAAAUAAUUA